GACGAACGCUGCCGGCGUGCUUAACACAUGCAAGUCGAACGGGAUCCACUGGGCUUUUGUUUGGUGGUAGAGUGGCGAACGGGUGAGUAAUGCGUGACUAACCUGCCGUAUGGUUGGGGAUAGCUCCUGGAAACGGGUGGUAAUACCCAAUGCUCCAGCUGGAUGCAUGUCUGGUUGGGAAAGCUUUUGUGCCAUAUGAUGGGGUCGCGUCCUAUCAGCUUGUUGGUGGGGUGAUGGCCUACCAAGGCGUCGACGGGUAGCCGGCCUAAGAGGGCGACCGGCCACAUUGGGACUGAGAUACGGCCCAGACUCCUACGGGAGGCAGCAGUGGGGAAUAUUGCACAAUGGGCGCAAGCCUGAUGCAGCGACGCCGCGUGCGGGAUGGAGGCCUUCGGGUUGUAAACCGCUUUUAUAGGGGGGCAAGCUAUGCCUGUGUGGUGUGGUGAGUGGACUUUAUGAAUAAGCACGGCU
This 471-nucleotide ribosomal RNA is filed under the name Scardovia sp. oral taxon 195. Its description in RNAcentral is "bacterial SSU rRNA". It matches the Rfam family "Bacterial small subunit ribosomal RNA", at positions 28 to 498 of the family's 1533-position model. The record is from RNAcentral. Lineage: Bacteria; Bacillati; Actinomycetota; Actinomycetes; Bifidobacteriales; Bifidobacteriaceae.